RNAcentral lists this small RNA (238 nucleotides) under Cyanistes caeruleus (blue tit). RNAcentral's name for it is "7SK RNA (ENSCCEG00000000550.1)". It matches the Rfam family "7SK RNA". Rfam says of the family: 7SK was discovered as an abundant small nuclear RNA in the mid-70s but a possible function has only recently been suggested. Lineage: Eukaryota; Metazoa; Chordata; Aves; Passeriformes; Paridae. The record is from RNAcentral.
GGACCUGGGCUUGGGCAGGCACAUGGCCCCUUCCUCACCCAGCGCUCCAUAUGCAUCCCUCCCAAAGCUGCUGGGGCACAGAGGACGACCUCCCCGAUACAGACAGUACAUUUUAUCACUCAAGGCUAUUGGGCAGCUGCGCUCCCUGCCACAACCUUCAAACCUGCCCAUGGUACUAGGGCUGCAUUUCUAGGGCUUUCCCGGUAGUCAUAAAUAAAAUUUUGCACAAAAGAAAAUU